Molecule: non-coding RNA, 97 nt
Filed under: uncultured Ascidiaceihabitans sp.
Lineage: Bacteria; Pseudomonadati; Pseudomonadota; Alphaproteobacteria; Rhodobacterales; Paracoccaceae
Description: Glycine riboswitch
Rfam family: Glycine riboswitch aptamer
About the family: This family represents the bacterial glycine riboswitch. Glycine riboswitches usually consist of two metabolite-binding aptamers domains with similar structures in tandem.
Source: RNAcentral
UAUCUGGAGAGUGGUCUGUUUUAACGCAGCAGGCCCACCGAAGGAGAAAGCUGCCAAGGCUUGGUGGUCAAGCUCUCAGGUCACGCGACAGAUGGGG